GUCUACGGCCAUACCAACCUGAACGCACCUGAUCUCGUCUGAUCUCGGAAGUUAAGCAGGGUCGGGCCUGGUUAGUACUUGGAUGGGAGACUACCUGUGAAGAGCCACA
Myotis brandtii (Brandt's bat) is the source of this 109-nucleotide long non-coding RNA. RefSeq lists it as uncharacterized. Lineage: Eukaryota; Metazoa; Chordata; Mammalia; Chiroptera; Vespertilionidae. The record is from RefSeq and is a predicted model, not a curated record. The transcript has 3 exons.